RNA transcript from Polyodon spathula (Mississippi paddlefish), 3868 nucleotides. It is a transcript of the gene named sodium/potassium/calcium exchanger 3-like, with no coding region annotated. The record is from RefSeq and is a predicted model, not a curated record. NCBI's taxonomy places the organism in Eukaryota, Metazoa, Chordata, Actinopteri, Acipenseriformes, Polyodontidae. The transcript is spliced from 18 exons.
CACCAUCAAACAGCUGCACAGUAUCAAUCUGGGUAGAGCGCAUCUUUUAUCUACAGCAUCCGCAGACUCGCAACAGACCCAGUCCUGCAAGACUUAGCUCCGACUAGUCCCCCAUGGACCGUUCUCACAGCCCAGCACCCUCUAAUUGCACAUUAUUAGGAUUUAGCGCGUUUCACACAUAAACCGACGGUAUUCGAUUCGGUCCGUUUUGAAACUUUUCCUUCAGUUUUCUUUUUUCUUUUUAAACGGUUCUGGUCUUUAUCUUCCUCCAUGGAUGUGGUUGCUGCCAGGAUGCCCGGGAACCGAACGCUUCAACUGAUGCUGAACCAGAAAAAGAUCAAGGCUCGCAGAAAAAAGAGAAAGGAGUUGUUUCUGGGACAGAUAUGUAUUACUGGUUUUUUGCUGCUGGUUGUGUCGUGUUUUUCAUGCCUAGCCGAAAAAUCAGGUUAUGAUAUAUUAGGCUACACUACUGAAGAUGAUGGCAGAUGGAACAGCCGGAGACUGAUGCAGGAAGCGGACGCGAACAAAACAGAGGAAGAGCAACAAUCCCCACACCUGGAUAUAAACUGCACUGUGCCUGCUCUUCACGAAUUCCCUACUGAUAUUUUCUCAAUCAAGGAAAGGAAAGAAGGAGCAGUGGCACUGCAUGUGAUUUCUGCUAUGUACAUGUUUUAUGCCCUGGCUAUCGUCUGUGAUGACUACUUUGUGCCCUCCUUGGAGAAGAUUUCUGAACGUUUGCAGCUCAGUGAAGAUGUUGCCGGAGCUACAUUCAUGGCAGCAGGAAGCUCAGCUCCCGAGCUCUUUACCUCAGUCAUUGGAGUCUUUAUCACCAAGGGAGACGUGGGCGUUGGGACCAUUGUUGGAUCUGCAGUAUUCAAUAUCCUCUGCAUCAUUGGAGUCUGUGGGAUCUUUGCUGGGCAGACUGUUCAUUUGUCUUGCUGGACCCUUCUUCGGGACUCAUCUUACUAUACUCUGUCAAUUGUAGCUCUUAUUGUGUUUAUUCAUGAUGAGAAAGUGUCUUGGUGGGAGUCGUUGGUACUAGUCCUUAUGUACGUGGUGUACAUAGUGAUCAUGAAGUUCAACUACAGGGCGCGCCGUUAUAUUGAUCGCAGGAAGAAGACCAUAAUAAACAUGACCAACGGGACGACGAACAACACGGACAUUGAUGACGGCGGCAACUGUGAUGCCACUGUGGUGUUACUCAAGAAAGCGAAUUUCCAUAGUAAGGCCUCAGUCCUUAUGGUGGAUGAGCUGCUGUCUGCCUACCCUCACCAGCUCUCGUUCUCCGAUGCGGGCCUCAGGAUCAUGAUCACCAGCCACUUUCCCCCCAGAACCAGGCUCACCAUGGCCAGCCGCCUGCUCAUUACUGAGAGGCAGAAGCUGAUAAACAACAAGUCCUUCAGCAACGGCGAUUCAGAGGUGGCCCUCAGGAUAUCCAACAUGCACAGGAUCGAGAACGGACUGGGCACCUCCUCCGAGAGGGGCUUGAACGGUCGUCAUGGUGAGGAGGAUGGGAUUGAAGCAGGGAACGAGACGGAGAACGAAAACGAGGACAACGAGAACAAUGAGAAUGACGAGGAGGAAGAGGAAGAUGAUGACACCGAAGGACCCCUGGUGCCCUUUGAACUGCCAGCUGGUGCACUUAAUAAGGUCAAGUGGCUUGUUGGUUGGCCACUGAGUCUUCUGCUGUAUUUCACUGUCCCGAACUGCGCCAACCCCCGCUGGGAGAAAUGGUUCAUGGUCACCUUCGCAACAUCUACCAUCUGGAUCGCAGGCUUCUCCUACAUCAUGGUCUGGAUGGUGACAGUUAUCGGCUACACACUGGGAAUUCCUGAUGUGAUCAUGGGCAUCACAUUCUUGGCAGCUGGAACCAGCGUACCAGACUGCAUGGCCAGCCUCAUAGUGGCACGACAAGGUAUGGGGGACAUGGCAGUCUCAAACUCCAUUGGCAGCAAUGUGUUUGAUAUCUUAAUAGGACUGGGACUUCCUUGGGCACUGCAAACACUGGCCAUCGAUUAUGGCUCAUAUAUCCAUUUGAACAGCAAAGGACUGAUAUUUUCUGUGGGACUGUUAUUAGCUUCAGUUUUUCUCACAGUUGUGGCGGUUCACUUGAACAAGUGGAAGCUGGAUAAGAAGCUGGGGUUUGGUUGCCUUCUCUUGUACGCUAUCUUCCUGUGUUUCUCCAUCAUGAUCGAGUUCAAUGUCUUCACCUUUGUGAACUUGCCAAUGUGCCAAGAGCUCUGAUCCACUUUCAUGGCAGCUUGGGGGCACAUAGUUCCGGUUUCUGUCUUUGGUUUUAUAAAUUAUUUUUGUUCUAUGGUGCAAUACGAACAAGUUGUGCAUUUCUAUUGGGUACAGAAAAUAAUAUAUGGUGCACAGAAAGCCACAAAGCAUAUCUUUCAGACUUGUAAAAAAAAAAAAAAUUUCCUGCGUUGAUGUGAAUUUUUUUUUUUUUUUCUGAUUUUGACCUGACUUUUGCAAUGGAUUGUGGCAACUCCAGUUUCAUUUGCUGCUAACCAGUGGAGAGCUGUACAAAAGAGAAUGCUAUCAUGGAUUGCUUUUUUUAUUUGUCCCUUUUGUUUUUUUGAAGACUUCAAUUAUAUGUGACACCCUAAACUUAAUGAAAGGUACAGUUACCCAGAGAGGCCAAGUAUGGAAUGGACACAGAGACUGAACUAAUCUCUGUACCCCUAGGAAGGUGAUCUGAACUGAAGCACACAGAGGAGUCUGUUUGAGGAGGUUUUCUGUCUGUAUUGUUGACUGAUAGAGGAAUUUCACUGUACAGGAGGCAUUAAUCCAGCCAGUCGUCAUCAAAAUAUUACAAACAAAACUAUCCAGCAAGCAAGCAUUCACUGUGGAAUCUGCAUCUUGGUCACUAAGUGAUUUAAUUUAAUUUAAGCACUAGUGCUCUGUAGCAUUUAGCUGUGAAAGGCAUCAUAAUGAGGAAUUGGUCUGUACUCAGAGCAAGCUUCCUCUGUAUGGAUGUGUUGUCCGUCAUGUCAAUGCUGGAAUUCGUUGCUAUGUAGUCUACGUUUGUCUUAAUGUUUUCUUUUCUUUGAAAUUUAAGUGAAUUUGGCACAUUAAUAGUGGAUGAUAAACGAAAGCUGUGCCAUGCUGUACUGAAGCGCUCUUUAUUUAGUUAAGGUUGAUAACUCAGUAAUAACAAACCUGGCUGCAAACUAAGAUUUCAAAAAGGACUGCCAGCAGGUAAUUUCACUGAUUCUAGAAGUGUUAUAUUAGGUACAUGCACAAUGUUAGCUUUUAUUAUUAGUAUUUUACUGUUUAAGAUUGGACAAGGUGAACUGUCGUUUAGAAGGAUUGGUUUCUCUUUUAUAGUGUCACAGAACCAUUUGAAGGUGCCACAAAAGAUUACUUUUCUCUGAUAACUGUGUUGUUAAUUGUUAAUAGUUUUAAAAUAUUUUUAAAGAGAAUAAAACUGCAGACCUUUCAUUGGAAGAAUCUUGUACUGUGUACAUAGCUUGUAUACAUAGAUUAUUUCAAGUCUUCUUGUGUAAAGAUUUCUGCAAUUCAGUCAUCCUUGAUAUCACCCAGUCUCAUGUGGCAUUACAGACUGUUGCUGUAAUGAGGGGCUCCUGAUGGGCGCAUCCAGUAAAGGCACUCUGCAUGGAGUGCAGGAUGCGCCUUAUAGCCUGGAGAUCGCAGGUUCAGAUCCAGGCUACGUCACAGCCAACCGUGACCGGAGGUUCCUAAAGGGCGGCGCAUAAUUGGCAGAGUGUCGUCCGGAUAGGGAAGGGUUAGGUUGACUGGGCAAUCCACGGGUCACCACUCACCAGGCUGAUAGGGCACCUGCGGGUCUGCAGUGGAGCCAUUCAGAUCUGUGUUGUCCUCUGGCACUAUAGGUCUGGUG